GGCCCAUCAAAAAAAAACCAACAUUUUUUUUCAGUUAUGUUGUCUAAGUAUCAAAAUAAAGCAUUCAAGGAUGCCUUGUACAUUCAGUAUUUUAUGCUUCAUGGUCUAGAAUCAUUACUUUGACUUAAUACAGUGUAACAGGUAGUGAAGAGGAAGGCUACUUCAUUUUGAAAGUCCCCAAGCUCUCCUGCCAUGACAUAGUUAAGUAUUCACUACAUGGCUGUUUAUAUCAUUGAAAUCUUUGGUGUAUUUUAUUUUGUAUCACAGUUUUGGAGUAGAUUGAAACUACUCAUAUUAGUCUUGGUAACUAUUGAGAAAAAUGUCAAAACAAAAUGUGCUGGAAUUCAAGAGGGAUUAUAAAUGCACAGAGGGAUAAGAUAGGAACUAGUUAAAGCUUUAACUGUUAUAUGUCAAAAGUUAUUUUCUAAUGGGUUUGAAAUACACUACAUUUUUUCUUUCUCUUUUUUCUUAGUCCAGUAUUGACACAAGGAAAGUGUCAGAGUGUAGGAACUCCUCAGGCUGUUCAGUGGUUCCCUACAUAAAGGGAGAGAAUGCAUUUACUAGUAAAAAGCCUGAACCCAAAAUCUCAGAUGAUAUCAGGCUGAAUUCUGGAGAGCAGCCCACAGGUGACCUCCUUGAAUCCCAAGUGGAGAGUAGCACAGUCUAGUGAUGCUGAACAAAGUGUACUUUCUCUCCUUUCCAAAUACAAGGUAUUUGCUGCCCUUCAUCCUCUCUACCUGCUGGUUUGUAAAGCACUGGCUGCUUUUCAGUUCAUGCAGAAGUACCAACUCUUUCUUUGGGUGUUAGACAUGGAGUGGGUGCACCUUGGACUCUCUCAGAAGAGCUGGAUGCCUGAUUUGAGCAAAUCCCUCGUGGGCUUGUGUUUGAAUGUGCACUAAAAUUUCUCAAGAUAAGACUGCAAAUAAACAGCUUUGCUAUUUUGGCA
RNAcentral lists this long non-coding RNA (946 nucleotides) under Parus major (Great Tit). RNAcentral's name for it is "lncRNA (ENSPMJG00000010536.1)". Lineage: Eukaryota; Metazoa; Chordata; Aves; Passeriformes; Paridae. The record is from RNAcentral.